GAUGAACGCUGGCGGCGUGCCUAAUACAUGCAAGUCGAGCGAACAGACGAGGAACUUGCUCCUCUGACGUUAGCGGCGGACGGGUGAGUAACACGUGGAUAACCUACCUAUAAGACUGGGAUAACUUCGGGAAACCGGAGCUAAUACCGGAUAAUAUAUUGAACCGCAUGGUUCAAUAGUGAAAGACGGUUUUGCUGUCACUUAUAGAUGGAUCCGCGCCGCAUUAGCUAGUUGGUAAGGUAACGGCUUACCAAGGCAACGAUGCGUAGCCGACCUGAGAGGGGGAUCGGCCACACUGGAACUGAGACACGGUCCAGACUCCUACGGGAGGCAGCAGUAGGGAAUCUUCCGCAAUGGGCGAAAGCCUGACGGAGCAACGCCGCGUGAGUGAUGAAGGUCUUCGGAUCGUAAAACUCUGUUAUUAGGGAAGAAUAAAUGUGUAAGUAACUAUGCACGUCUUGACGGUACCUAAUCAGAAAGCCACGGCUAACUACGUG
RNAcentral lists this ribosomal RNA (497 nucleotides) under uncultured bacterium. RNAcentral's name for it is "partial 16S ribosomal RNA". It matches the Rfam family "Bacterial small subunit ribosomal RNA", at positions 28 to 507 of the family's 1533-position model. The record is from RNAcentral.